UACAGAGGUCUCAAGCGUUGUUCGGAUUCAUUGGGCGUAAAGGGUGCGUAGGCGGUGUCGUAAGUCGGAUGUGAAAUCCCGGGGCUUAACUUCGGAACUGCAUUCGAUACUGCGAUACUCGAGGACUCGAGAGGAGAUUGGAAUUCACGGUGUAGCAGUGAAAUGCGUAGAUAUCGUGAGGAAGACCAGUGGCGAAGGCGAGUCUCUGGACAGCAACUGACGCUGAGGAGCGAAAGCGUGGGGAGCAAACAGG
This 253-nucleotide ribosomal RNA is filed under the name uncultured bacterium. RNAcentral describes it as "partial 16S ribosomal RNA". It matches the Rfam family "Bacterial small subunit ribosomal RNA", at positions 524 to 776 of the family's 1533-position model. The record is from RNAcentral.